AGACGGAGGGGGCUAGCGUUGUUCGGAAUUACUGGGCGUAAAGCGCGCGUAGGCGGUCCGUUUAGUUAGGCGUGAAAGCCCUGGGCUCAACCCGGGAACUGCGUUUAAAACUGGCGGACUAGAGUCCGGGAGAGGGUGGCGGAAUUCCCAGUGUAGAGGUGAAAUUCGUAGAUAUUGGGAAGAACACCAGUGGCGAAGGCGGCCACCUGGCCCGGUACUGACGCUGAGGUGCGAAAGCGUGGGGAGCAAACAGGAUUAGAAACCCUGGUAGUCC
RNAcentral lists this ribosomal RNA (274 nucleotides) under uncultured bacterium. Its description in RNAcentral is "partial 16S ribosomal RNA". It matches the Rfam family "Bacterial small subunit ribosomal RNA", at positions 523 to 796 of the family's 1533-position model. The record is from RNAcentral.